This 747-nucleotide ribosomal RNA is filed under the name uncultured Capnocytophaga sp. RNAcentral's name for it is "bacterial SSU rRNA". It matches the Rfam family "Bacterial small subunit ribosomal RNA", at positions 28 to 776 of the family's 1533-position model. The record is from RNAcentral. Lineage: Bacteria; Pseudomonadati; Bacteroidota; Flavobacteriia; Flavobacteriales; Flavobacteriaceae.
GAUGAACGCUAGCGGCAGGCCUAACACAUGCAAGUCGAGGGAGAAGCCCUUUCGGGGGCAGAAACCGGCGCACGGGUGCGUAACGCGUAUGCAACCUACCUUUCACAGGGGGAUAGCCCGAAGAAAUUUGGAUUAAUACCCCAUAAUAUUAUUGAAUGGCAUCAUUUGAUAAUUAAAACUGCGGUGGUGAAAGAUGGGCAUGCGUCCUAUUAGCUAGUUGGAGUGGUAACGGCACCCCAAGGCUACGAUAGGUAGGGGUCCUGAGAGGGAGAUCCCCCACACUGGUACUGAGACAGGGACCAGACUCCUACGGGAGGCAGCAGUGAGGAAUAUUGGUCAAUGGUCGGAAGACUGAACCAGCCAUGCCGCGUGCAGGAAGAAUGCCUUAUGGGUUGUAAACUGCUUUUAUAUGGGAAGAAUAAGGUGUACGUGUACAUUGAUGACGGUACCAUAUGAAUAAGCAUCGGCUAACUCCGUGCCAGCAGCCGCGGUAAUACGGAGGAUGCGAGCGUUAUUCGGAAUCAUUGGGUUUAAAGGGUCUGUAGGCGGGCUAUUAAGUCAGGGGUGAAAGGUUUCAGCUUAACUGAGAAAUUGCCUUUGAUACUGGUAGUCUUGAAUAUCUGUGAAGUUCUUGGAAUGUGUAGUGUAGCGGUGAAAUGCUUAGAUAUUACACAGAACACCGAUUGCGAAGGCAGGGGACUAACAGACAAUUGACGCUGAGAGACGAAAGCGUGGGGAGCGAACAGG